GGCGCUGCCUAAUAAUGCAAGUCGAGCGGACAGAUGGGAGCUUGCUCCCUGAUGUCAGCGGCGGACGGGUGAGUAACACGUGGGUAACCUGCCUGUAAGACUGGGAUAACUCCGGGAAACCGGGGCUAAUACCGGAUGCUUGAUUGAACCGCAUGGUUCAAUUAUAAAAGGUGGCUUUUACCUACCACUUACAGAUGGACCCCCGCCGCAUUACCUAGUUGGUGAGGUAACGGCUCACCAAGGCAACAAUGCGUAGCCAACCUGAGAGGGUGAUCGGCCACACUGGGACUGAGACACGGCCCAAACUCCUACGGGAGGCAGCAGUAGGGAAUCUUCCGCAAUGAACAAAAGUCUGACGAACCACCCCCCCGUGAGUGAUAAAGGUUUUCGAAUCGUAAAACUCUGUUGUUAGGGAAGAACAAGUACCGUUCAAAUAGGGCGGUACCUUGACGGUACCUAACCAAAAAGCCACGGCUAACUACUUGCCACCACCCGCGGUAAUACGUAGGUGGCAAGCGUUGUCCGGAAUUAUUGGCCGUAAAGCCCGCCCAGGCGGUUUCUUAAUUCUAAUGUGAAACCCCCCGCCUCACCCGGGAAGGGUCAUUGAAAACUGGGAAACUUAAUUCCAAAAAAGAAAAGUGAAAUUCCACUUGUAGCGGUGAAAUCCUUAAAGAUGUGAAGGACCCCCAUUGCCAAAGGCAACUCUCUGGCCUGUAACUAACUCUAAGGCCCAAAAGCUUGGGGACCGAACAGAAUUAGAUACCCUGUAAUUCCACGCCUUAAACCAAUAAGUGCUAAUUUGUAAAAGGGUUUCCCCCCCUUUAGUUGCUCCAGCCAAACCCAAUUAAGGCACUGCCCCCUGGGGGAGUACGGUCCCAAGAUUGAGACUGAAAAGGAAAUUGAAAGGGGGCCCGCCCGAAAGGGAGGAGCCAAUGGGUUUAUAU
RNAcentral lists this ribosomal RNA (944 nucleotides) under Bacillus nakamurai. Its description in RNAcentral is "bacterial SSU rRNA". It matches the Rfam family "Bacterial small subunit ribosomal RNA", at positions 41 to 952 of the family's 1533-position model. Lineage: Bacteria; Bacillati; Bacillota; Bacilli; Caryophanales; Bacillaceae. The record is from RNAcentral.